RNAcentral lists this ribosomal RNA (253 nucleotides) under uncultured bacterium. Its description in RNAcentral is "partial 16S ribosomal RNA". It matches the Rfam family "Bacterial small subunit ribosomal RNA", at positions 524 to 776 of the family's 1533-position model. The record is from RNAcentral.
UACGGAGGGUGCGAGCGUUAAUCGGAAUUACUGGGCGUAAAGCGCGCGUAGGCGGUGGAUCAAGUCCCUUGUGAAAGCCCUGGGCUCAACCUGGGAAUGGCAGGGGAAACUGGUCGGCUAGAGUGUGGUAGAGGGUGGCGGAAUUUCCGGUGUAGCAGUGAAAUGCGUAGAGAUCGGAAGGAACACCAGUGGCGAAGGCGGCCAUCUGGACCAACACUGACGCUGAGGGGCGAAAGCGUGGGGAGCAAACAGG